RNAcentral lists this ribosomal RNA (523 nucleotides) under uncultured Glomus. RNAcentral describes it as "SSU rRNA". It matches the Rfam family "Eukaryotic small subunit ribosomal RNA", at positions 569 to 1093 of the family's 1831-position model. The record is from RNAcentral. Lineage: Eukaryota; Fungi; Glomeromycota; Glomeromycetes; Glomerales; Glomeraceae.
AGCAGCCGCGGUAAUUCCAGCUCCAAUAGCGUAUAUUAAAGUUGUUGCAGUUAAAAAGCUCGUAGUUGAAUUUCGGGGUUAGUAGGUUGGUCAUGCCUCUGGUAUGUACUGGUCUCACUGAUUCCUCCUUCCUGAUGAAUCUUAAUGCCAUUAAUUUGGUGUUUUGGGGAAUUUGGACUGUUACUUUGAAAAAAUUAGAGUGUUUAAAGCAAGCUAACGCUUGAAUACAUUAGCAUGGAAUAAUGAAAUAGGACGUUCGAUCCUAUUUUGUUGGUUUCUAGGAUUGACGUAAUGAUUAAUAGGGAUAGUUGGGGGCAUUAGUAUUCAAUUGUCAGAGGUGAAAUUCUUGGAUUUAUUGAAGACUAACUACUGCGAAAGCAUUUGCCAAGGAUGUUUUCAUUAAUCAAGAACGAAAGUUAGGGGAUCGAAGACGAUCAGAUACCGUCGUAGUCUUAACCAUAAACUAUGCCGACUAGGGAUCGGAUGAUGUUAAUUUUUUAAUGACUCAUUCGGCGCCUUACGG